GACCGAUGUGGUUGAUGGGAUAUCYACUGUCAAGUUUGUAUUCUUGCAGUGGGUKGGUGUCAAUGUCAAACCAAUGGCAAAGGGAAAGAUAAGYACACAUAGAUCAGCUAUUGACAAAGUGUUUAGUCCUGCUCAUGUCGUCAUCUACGUCACAAGUCAAAGUGAAAUCUYAUUGGAUGAUAUCAAAGAUAAGGUAGCCAGUGCUAGCGGYUCAAARUCUCACGUGAGAAAUAAAGAAACGCUUCGCUGAUUGGUUGUUACUGACCUAUAAGAACGCGACACGAUAGAUGGUUUAUAGGCAGUCCUGCUGACCAAAACGAUCGCAGUGAUC
Long non-coding RNA from Exaiptasia diaphana, 331 nucleotides. RefSeq lists it as uncharacterized. The record is from RefSeq and is a predicted model, not a curated record. The transcript is spliced from 2 exons. Lineage: Eukaryota; Metazoa; Cnidaria; Anthozoa; Actiniaria; Aiptasiidae.